This is a long non-coding RNA of Melanotaenia boesemani (Boeseman's rainbowfish), 252 nucleotides long. RefSeq lists it as uncharacterized. The record is from RefSeq and is a predicted model, not a curated record. NCBI's taxonomy places the organism in Eukaryota, Metazoa, Chordata, Actinopteri, Atheriniformes, Melanotaeniidae. The transcript has 3 exons.
AAUCCAGGACAGAGCUCGCUCUCCUGAUCAGUUUAUUGAUCCUGCUCCUGUCCCUGUCUGUGCUGCUCCCUCUCCAGCAGACCACAGCAUAGAAUAUGGCUGAGGCCACCACAGAGUCAUAAAAAGUCCUAAGGAGAGUCCCACACACUCCGAAGGACCUCAGUCUCCUCAGCAGGUGGAGGCGACUCUGGCCUUUCUUGUAGAGGGCGUGGGUGUUUGUAGACCAGUCCAGUUUGUUUAAAUUGUAACUAA